RNAcentral lists this unclassified non-coding RNA (357 nucleotides) under soil metagenome. Its description in RNAcentral is "partial contains 5.8S ribosomal RNA, internal transcribed spacer 2, and large subunit ribosomal RNA". The stretch from base 1 to 120 matches the Rfam family "5.8S ribosomal RNA", at positions 35 to 154 of the family's 154-position model. The record is from RNAcentral.
GAUGAAGAACGCAGCGAAAUGCGAUAAGUAGUGUGAAUUGCAGAAUUCAGUGAAUCAUCGAAUCUUUGAACGCACAUUGCGCCCGUUAGCAUUCUAGCGGGCAUGCCUGUCCGAGCGUCAUUUCAACCCUCAGGGUCCCCGUUCCGGCGGGGAACUUGGUGUUGGGGAUCGGCCCGCCCCGUGCGGCGCCGUCCCCCAAAUUCAGUGGCGGUCUCGCUGCAGCCUCCCCUGCGUAGUAGUUACAACCUCGCAUCGGAGCUCAGCGCGGCCACGCCGUAAAACCCCCGACUUUCUGAACGUUGACCUCGGAUCAGGUAGGAAUACCCGCUGAACUUAAGCAUAUCAAUAAGCGGAGGA